RNAcentral lists this ribosomal RNA (231 nucleotides) under uncultured bacterium. RNAcentral's name for it is "partial 16S ribosomal RNA". It matches the Rfam family "Bacterial small subunit ribosomal RNA", at positions 99 to 334 of the family's 1533-position model. The record is from RNAcentral.
CGGACGGGUGAGUAACACGUGGGUGAUCUGCCUUUCGGUGGGGAAUAACUCUGGGAAACCAGAGCUAAUACCGCAUAUGCUUACUAUUUCAUUAUUGUAAGUAAAGAUAUAUUGCCGAAAGAGGAGCCUGCGCCGGAUUAGCUAGUCGGUGGGGUAAUGGCCUACCGAGGCGACGAUCCGUAGCUGGUCUGAGAGGACGACCAGCCACACUGGGACUGAGACACGGCCCAG